UACAGAGAGUGCAAACGUUGUUCGGAAUCACUGGGCUUAAAGCGCGCGUAGGCGGCACUGUAAGUGUCGGGUGAAAUCCCACGGCUCACCCGUGGAAUUGCCCGGCAGACUGCAGUGCUAGAGUGUGGUAGGGGAGAGCGGAACUCCUGGUGGAGCGGUGAAAUGCGUAGAUAUCAGGAGGAACACCGGUGGCGAAGGCGGCUCUCUGGUCCAUGACUGACGCUGAGGUGCGAAAGCUAGGGUAGCGAACGGG
RNAcentral lists this unclassified non-coding RNA (253 nucleotides) under uncultured Planctomycetota bacterium. RNAcentral's name for it is "uncultured planctomycete contains 16S-23S intergenic spacer region". It matches the Rfam family "Bacterial small subunit ribosomal RNA", at positions 524 to 776 of the family's 1533-position model. Lineage: Bacteria; Pseudomonadati; Planctomycetota. The record is from RNAcentral.